Astatotilapia calliptera (eastern happy) is the source of this 1008-nucleotide long non-coding RNA. The record is from Ensembl. Lineage: Eukaryota; Metazoa; Chordata; Actinopteri; Cichliformes; Cichlidae.
GUCUGUCAGGCGUUGUAUGGAGGCGAGGAAGAAAGAACCCAAACGCAGGACUGGCAGGUAGGUGAGGUUUAUUAUAAGGAGUGGGUGAAGGGGCACUGACUGGCUGGACAACUGAAUGGCGGACUGAACUGAGGGAACACACGGGAAGGACAACAUAACAUCAAUGACAUGACAGUGAACGAGUAGAAACAGAGGGCUUAAAUACACAGACUGAUGAGGAUGAUAAUGAGAGACCGGUGAGUACACAGCUGAACAUAAUCUGGCUAAUGACACAAGACGAGCUGACACAGGAAAAGGCGAAGCUGAGGCUGGACCAGGCGAAGCAGAAGCCGAGGCCGGACCAGGCGAAGCUGAGGCCGGACCAGGCGAAGCAGAAGCCGAGGCCGGACCAGGCGAAGCUGAAGCUGAGGCUGAGGCUGGACCAGGCGAGGCAGCGGCUGAGUCUGAUGCCGGACCAGGCGAAGCAGUGGCUGAGUCUGAUGCCGGACCAGGCGAGGCAGCGGCUGAGUCUGAUGCCGGACCAGGCGGCGCGGAAGCCUCUGGCUGGAGACAGGCAGGGCCAGUAGGCGCGGAAGCCUCUGGCUGAGGAGCGGCCGGGCCAGCGGGUGCAGGAACCCCUGGCUGAAGAGCGGCCGGGCCAGCGGGUGCGGAAACCCCUGGCUGAAGAGCGGCCGGGCCAGCGGGUGCGGAAACCCCUGGCUGAAGAGCGGCCGGGCCAGCGGGUGCGGAAACCCCUGGCUGAAGAGCGGCCGGGCCAGCGGGUGCGGAAACCCCUGGCUGAGGAGCGGCCGGGCCAGCGGGUGCGGAAACCUCUGGCUGAAGAGCGGCCGGGCCAGCGGGUGCGGAAACCCCUGGCUGAGGAGCAGGAGAGCUCACAGCUGGCUCUGGGUGCUGUGGCUGCAGGUCCGGGAACUGAACGGGAUGGUGGACGGGCGACUGGGAGACAGGAGGCGACUGGACUACAGACUGAACAGGAGCAGACUGGACUGACUGGACUACAGACUGGAC